Molecule: ribosomal RNA, 460 nt
Filed under: uncultured bacterium
Lineage: Bacteria
Description: bacterial SSU rRNA
Rfam family: Bacterial small subunit ribosomal RNA
Source: RNAcentral
CGUACGACGAGUUUGAUCCUGGCUCAGAAUGAACGCUGGCGGCAGGCCUAACACAUGCAAGUCGAACGAAGCCUUCGGGGUUAGCGGCGGACGGGUGAGUAACGCGUGGGAACGUGCCCUUUGCUACGGAAUAGCCCCGGGAAACUGGGAGUAAUACCGUAUGUGCCCUUCGGGGGAAAGAUUUAUCGGCAAAGGAUCGGCCCGCGUUGGAUUAGGUAGUUGGUGGGGUAAUGGCCUACCAAGCCGACGAUCCAUAGCUGGUUUGAGAGGAUGAUCAGCCACACUGGGACUGAGACACGGCCCAGACUCCUACGGGAGGCAGCAGUGGGGAAUCUUAGACAAUGGGCGCAAGCCUGAUCUAGCCAUGUCGCGUGAUCGAUGAAGGCCUUAGGGUUGUAAAGAUCUUUCAGUGGGGAAGAUAAUGACUGUACCCACAGAAGAAGCCCCGGCUAACUCCGUA